RNAcentral lists this ribosomal RNA (468 nucleotides) under uncultured bacterium. RNAcentral describes it as "partial 16S ribosomal RNA". It matches the Rfam family "Bacterial small subunit ribosomal RNA", at positions 28 to 507 of the family's 1533-position model. The record is from RNAcentral.
GACGAACGCUGGCGGCGUGCUUAACACAUGCAAGUCGAACGGAAAGGCCCUGCUUUUGUGGGGUGCUCGAGUGGCGAACGGGUGAGUAACACGUGAGUAACCUGCCCUUGACUUUGGGAUAACUUCAGGAAACUGGGGCUAAUACCGGAUAGGAGCUCCUGCUGCAUGGUGGGGGUUGGAAAGUUUCGGCGGUUGGGGAUGGACUCGCGGCUUAUCAGCUUGUUGGUGGGGUAGUGGCUUACCAAGGCUUUGACGGGUAGCCGGCCUGAGAGGGUGACCGGCACAAUUGGGACUGGGGUACGGCCCAGCCUCCUAGGGGGGGCAGAGGUGGGGAAAAUUGCCCAAUGGGCGGAAGCCUGAUGAAGAAACGCCGCGGGCGGGAUGACGGCCUUCGGGUUGUAACCCGCUUUCGCCUGUGCCGAAGCGUGAGUGACGGUAAUGGGUAAAGAAGAACCGGCUAACUACGUG